RNAcentral lists this ribosomal RNA (458 nucleotides) under uncultured bacterium. RNAcentral describes it as "bacterial SSU rRNA". It matches the Rfam family "Bacterial small subunit ribosomal RNA", at positions 340 to 786 of the family's 1533-position model. The record is from RNAcentral.
UACGGAAGGCAGCAGUGGGGAAUAUUGCACAAUGGGCGAAAGCCUGAUGCAGCUAUGCCGCGUGUAUGAAGAAGGCCUUAGGGUUGUAAAGUACUUUCAUCGGGGAGGAAAAAAACAAAACUAAUAAUUUUAUUUCUUGACGUUACCCGAAAAAGAAGCACCGGCUAACUCCGUGCCAGCAGCCGCGGUAAUACGGAGGGUGCUAGCGUUAAUCAGAAUUACUGGGCGUAAAGAGCACGUAGGUGGUUUUUUUAAAGUCAGAUGUGAAAUCCCUGGGCUUAACCUAGGAACUGCAUUUUGAAACUGAAAUACUAGAGUAUCGUAGAGGGAGGUAGAAUUCUAGGUGUAGCGGUGAAAUGCGUAGAUAUCUGGAGGAAUGCCUGUGGCGAAAGCGGCCUCCUAAACGAAUACUGACACUGAGGUGCGAAACGCGUGGGGAGCAAACAGGAUUAGAUACC